RNAcentral lists this ribosomal RNA (55 nucleotides) under Candidatus Nomurabacteria bacterium RIFCSPHIGHO2_01_FULL_42_15. Its description in RNAcentral is "partial 23S ribosomal RNA". Lineage: Bacteria; Candidatus Nomuraibacteriota. The record is from RNAcentral.
CGUUGAUAGGCUUUAAGUGUAAGGCGAGUAAUCGCUUGAGCUGAGAAGUACUAAU